CCUUAGAGAAAUCAAGUAAACAUGAUAAUACAUCAUAUUAAAACAAAUCAGUAAUUUCCCAAUCAUUCAUCAAAUCUUAGACUGUUAUCACUGAUAUAGUGCGUGUGUGCUCCACAACAAUGUUAACUGAUAUAAAAUCAAAUUUAACACAUAAUAGGUCUUUUUAAAGGCAUUUUACAGUGAAAACUCACAAAAUUCACGAACAAGCUAGAUCCAACUAAAGUCAAACAUCCACCAAGUUCAAGAGUCCAAUCCGGGAUACUUAUGCUUUACUUUUCAUUACGGGGGCUUUUUGCUCUUUUCCCGUUUUAUUGUUUU
Molecule: long non-coding RNA, 318 nt
Filed under: Panax ginseng (ginseng)
Lineage: Eukaryota; Viridiplantae; Streptophyta; Magnoliopsida; Apiales; Araliaceae
Description: long non-coding RNA (PGIN_LNC017221)
Source: RNAcentral